GAGUUUGAUUCUGGCUCAGGACGAACGCUGGCGGCGUGCCUAAUACAUGCAAGUCGAGCGCGGGAAGCGAGCUGAUCCCUUCGGGGUGACGCUCGUGGAACGAGCGGCGGACGGGUGAGUAACACGUGGGCAACCUGCCUGUAAGAUCGGGAUAACUCCGGGAAACCGGGGCUAAUACCGGGUAAUACUUUCUUUCGCAUGAAGGAAAGUUGAAAGAUGGCUUCUCGCUAUCACUUACAGAUGGGCCCGCGGCGCAUUAGCUAGUUGGUGAGGUAACGGCUCACCAAGGCGACGAUGCGUAGCCGACCUGAGAGGGUGAUCGGCCACACUGGGACUGAGACACGGCCCAGACUCCUACGGGAGGCAGCAGUAGGGAAUCUUCCGCAAUGGACGAAAGUCUGACGGAGCAACGCCGCGUGAACGAUGAAGGUCUUCGGAUCGUAAAGUUCUGUUGUUAGGGAAGAACAAGUACCGUGCGAAUAGAGCGGUACCUUGACGGUACCUAACGAGGAAGCCCCGGCUAACUACGUGCCAGCAGCCGCGGUAAUACGUAGGGGGCAAGCGUUGUCCGGAAUUAUUGGGCGUAAAGCGCGCGCAGGCGGUUCCUUAAGUCUGAUGUGAAAGCCCACGGCUCAACCGUGGAGGGUCAUUGGAAACUGGGGAACUUGAGGACAGAAGAGGAGAGUGGAAUUCCACGUGUAGCGGUGAAAUGCGUAGAUAUGUGGAGGAACACCAGUGGCGAAAGCGACUCUCUGGUCUGUUUCUGACGCUGAGGUGCGAAAGCGUGGGUAGCAAACAGGAUUAGAUACCCUGGUAGUC
Molecule: ribosomal RNA, 819 nt
Filed under: uncultured Halobacillus sp.
Lineage: Bacteria; Bacillati; Bacillota; Bacilli; Caryophanales; Bacillaceae
Description: bacterial SSU rRNA
Rfam family: Bacterial small subunit ribosomal RNA
Source: RNAcentral